This 375-nucleotide ribosomal RNA is filed under the name uncultured organism. RNAcentral's name for it is "bacterial SSU rRNA". It matches the Rfam family "Bacterial small subunit ribosomal RNA", at positions 526 to 896 of the family's 1533-position model. The record is from RNAcentral.
CGGGGGAGGCAAGCGUUGUUCGGAUUUACUGGGCGUAAAGGGCGCGUAGGCGGUCAGCACAAGUCAGUUGCGAAAUCUCCGGGCGUUAACUCGGAAAGGUCAACUGAUACUGUGCGACUAGAGUGCGGAAUGGGCAACUGGAAUUCUCGGUGUAGCGGUGAAAUGCGUAGAUAUCGAGAGGAACACCUGCGGCGAAGGCGGGUUGCUGGGCCGACACUGACGCUGAUGCGCGAAAGCCAGGGGAGCGAACGGGAUUAGAUACCCCGGUAGUCCUGGCCUUAAACGAUGGAUGCUUGGUGUCUGGAGUUUUAUAAUCUCCGGGUGCCGUAGCUAACGCGUUAAGCAUCCCGCCUGGGGAGUACGGUCGCAAGACUG